Long non-coding RNA from Bradysia coprophila, 688 nucleotides. RefSeq lists it as uncharacterized. Lineage: Eukaryota; Metazoa; Arthropoda; Insecta; Diptera; Sciaridae. The record is from RefSeq and is a predicted model, not a curated record.
AUUCGUUUUCCUGCAUUUUAUUACUAGUUCGAUUGAAGGAGAGCUCGUAUUUAGUUGCUGAGUCAUUUUGUGGUCUGCUGUUUCCGUCUACAUCAUAACAAAAUGAGAAAAAUUCUCGCUGUUUUUGUGAUGUCUGUGUGCGUACAGAUGUUUGGUGGAAAUGUUGUUGAGGCGAAUUACGACAUUCCGUCUAACCACAACGGUAUAUUGGCAGAAUCUGAAGUCUGUAAUCCUGAAGGUGAAGUGAACAUACUUGUGAAAUGCCCGGAGGGUUAUCUUCCAGACCAGAAUGGAAGAUGCAGAGAAAUAUUCAAUAGAAGCGUAUUUCCGAAUGUCAAAUGCCCCGAGGGUUACCUUCCUGACCAGAAUGGAAGAUGCCGAGAAAUCUUCAACAGAAGCGUAUUUCCGAAUGUCAAAUGCCCCGAGGGUUAUCUUCCAGACCAGAAUGGAAGAUGCCGAGAAAUCUUCAAUAGAGGUGUAUUUCCGAAUGUGAAAUGCCCGGAGGGGUACCUCCCCGACCAGAAUGGAAGAUGCAGAGAAAUCUUCACGAGAGGUGUAUUUCCGAACGUGAAAUGCCCGGAAGGUUACCUUCCUGACCAGAAUGGAAGAUGUAGAGAAAUCUGGCAAUUUGAUAUAUAGUCGACGACGCAGGAGAUAUAAAUAAUGAUGAGAGCUUGUGAUAACUUUC